This 202-nucleotide ribosomal RNA is filed under the name Haemophilus influenzae. RNAcentral's name for it is "partial 23S ribosomal RNA". It matches the Rfam family "Bacterial large subunit ribosomal RNA", at positions 2737 to 2925 of the family's 2925-position model. Lineage: Bacteria; Pseudomonadati; Pseudomonadota; Gammaproteobacteria; Pasteurellales; Pasteurellaceae. The record is from RNAcentral.
AUUGCCGGGUAGCUAAAUGCGGAAGAGAUAAGUGCUGAAAGCAUCUAAGCACGAAACUUGCCAAGAGAUGAGUCAUCCCUGACUUUAAGUCAGUAAGGGUUGUUGUAGACUACGACGUAGAUAGGUCUGGUGUGUAAGUGUAGUGAUACAUUGAGCUAACAGAUACUAAUUGCCCGAGAGGCUUAACUAUACAACGCUCAAG